Molecule: small nucleolar RNA, 249 nt
Filed under: Thermococcus camini
Lineage: Archaea; Methanobacteriati; Methanobacteriota; Thermococci; Thermococcales; Thermococcaceae
Description: Thermococcus sp. IRI35c HgcG
Rfam family: HgcG RNA (Pab40)
About the family: The HgcG ncRNA gene was identified computationally in AT-rich hyperthermophiles. The genes were named hgcA through hgcG ("high GC"). HgcG is of unknown function. hgcG is significantly similar to a region of the Archaeoglobus fulgidus genome.
Source: RNAcentral
UUUAUAUACCCUCUUUUUCAACGUGUUAAUGCCCCCGCGCGAGGACUCCGGGGACGAAUGAACCGGAGUGCGAUGCGGGGGCCACAGCCCGGUCUUACAGCGAGGUCCCCGCGGGAGGGCCUUCCGCGUUACGGAGCACGAUGGCCGCGGGAAACCCAGACCGGGCACAGACGGCCCGCCUGGGUUAGCCCGCCCGAGCCCGCCGUCUGGCAUCGAUGAGGGUGGGAGUUACGGGCGGGCCAUAGCAUC